GACGAACGCUGGCGGCGUGCUUAACACAUGCAAGUCGAACGGAAAGGCCCUGCUUGCAGGGUACUCGAGUGGCGAACGGGUGGGUAACAAGCGGGUGAUCUGCCCUGCACUUCGGCAUAAGCCUCUGAAACUGGGUCUAGUACCGGACAGGAGCCAUAUUUAGUGUGAUGGUUGGAAAGUUUUUGCGGUGUAGGAUGAGCUCGCGGGCUAUCAGCUUGUUGGUGGGGCAAUGGCCUACCAAGGCGGCGACGGGUAGCCGGACUGCGGGGGUGGACGGCGACACUGGGACUUAGAGAAGGCCCAGACUCCUACGGGAGGCAGCAGUGGGGAAUAUUGCACAAUGGGCGCAAGCCUGAUGCAGCGAGGCCGCGUGGGGGAUGACGGCCUUAGGGUUGUAAAAUACUUUCGCAAGGGACGAAGCUUUUUGUGACGGUACCUAGAUAGGAAGCACCGGCUAACUACGUG
This 465-nucleotide ribosomal RNA is filed under the name uncultured bacterium. RNAcentral describes it as "partial 16S ribosomal RNA". It matches the Rfam family "Bacterial small subunit ribosomal RNA", at positions 28 to 507 of the family's 1533-position model. The record is from RNAcentral.